Solanum stenotomum is the source of this 286-nucleotide long non-coding RNA. RefSeq lists it as uncharacterized. Lineage: Eukaryota; Viridiplantae; Streptophyta; Magnoliopsida; Solanales; Solanaceae. The transcript has 2 exons. The record is from RefSeq and is a predicted model, not a curated record.
GCGUUUCACAGAAAAAUUUACUAUCCAAGAAUGCAAGAAUAUGAUUUUAUGGAGACGAUGACCCACAUGAACGUCUACGGAUCAUAAGUGGGAAAUGGAGGUGAUCAAAUUUGAAGGGUCGCUACAAGUCAAUUUGAUCUUAUUGAAGUGGAUGAUGAAGAUUUUUUGAACUAUUGUAAAAGUUUGAAUACAUUAUGUUUGAUUUUGUGAAAUAUUUUCUUUGCUAGAAUAUAUUGAACUAUUGUAAGAGCACUUUUUGAACAAUUGUGUACACAUAUUUACAAUA